Molecule: ribosomal RNA, 253 nt
Filed under: uncultured bacterium
Lineage: Bacteria
Description: partial 16S ribosomal RNA
Rfam family: Bacterial small subunit ribosomal RNA
Source: RNAcentral
UACGUAGGGUGCGAGCGUUAAUCGGAAUUACUGGGCGUAAAGCGUGCGCAGGCGGUUUUGUAAGCAAGAUGUGAAAUCCCCGGGCUUAACCUGGGAAUGGCAUUUGGGACUGCAAGGCUGGAGUGCGGCAGAGGAGACUGGAAUUCCCGGUGUAGCAGUGAAAUGCGUAGAUAUCUGGAGGAACACCGGUGGCGAAGGCGGCGUUCUGGACUGCAACUGACACUGAUGAACGAAAGCCAGGGGAGCAAACGGG